UCCUACGGGAGGGCAGCAGUGGGGAAUAUUGGACAAUGGGCGGAAAGCCUGAUCCAGCCAUGCCGCGUGUGUGAAGAAGGUCUUCGGAUUGUAAAGCACUUUAAGUUGGG
This 110-nucleotide ribosomal RNA is filed under the name uncultured Pseudomonas sp. RNAcentral's name for it is "partial 16S ribosomal RNA". It matches the Rfam family "Bacterial small subunit ribosomal RNA", at positions 337 to 444 of the family's 1533-position model. Lineage: Bacteria; Pseudomonadati; Pseudomonadota; Gammaproteobacteria; Pseudomonadales; Pseudomonadaceae. The record is from RNAcentral.